AGCAGUGUGGCUCGGUGGUACAGCAGGGCUGCAACCCAGAGGUCACGGGUUCGAUUCCCAAGCGGAGCGCUGCUG
This is a non-coding RNA of Megalops atlanticus (tarpon), 75 nucleotides long. Lineage: Eukaryota; Metazoa; Chordata; Actinopteri; Elopiformes; Megalopidae. The record is from the annotation of a GenBank genome assembly.